CUGCCCGUAGCUCAAUUGGAUAGAGCACCGGCCUUCUAAGCCGGCGGUUGCAGGUUCGAUCCCUGCCGGGCAGGCCA
This 77-nucleotide transfer RNA is filed under the name Rhodocyclaceae bacterium. Its description in RNAcentral is "tRNA-Arg". It matches the Rfam family "tRNA". Rfam says of the family: Transfer RNA (tRNA) molecules are approximately 80 nucleotides in length. Their secondary structure includes four short double-helical elements and three loops (D, anti-codon, and T loops). Further hydrogen bonds mediate the characteristic L-shaped molecular structure. tRNAs have two regions of fundamental functional importance: the anti-codon, which is responsible for specific mRNA codon recognition, and the 3' end, to which the tRNAs corresponding amino acid is attached (by aminoacyl-tRNA synthetases). tRNAs cope with the degeneracy of the genetic code in two manners: having more than one tRNA (with a specific anti-codon) for a particular amino acid; and 'wobble' base-pairing, i.e. permitting non-standard base-pairing at the 3rd anti-codon position. RNAcentral also lists the same sequence under 1 other name. Lineage: Bacteria; Pseudomonadati; Pseudomonadota; Betaproteobacteria; Rhodocyclales; Rhodocyclaceae. The record is from RNAcentral.